CCAAAAUGGAAGUUUGAAUCAAAAAACAUUAAAUGUACCCAUGACUUAAAUUUUAUCGCCAUUAUUUAAGUUUGGACAUACACUUUUGUCAUCAAACGCUGAAAAUUAGUACGAUUGAAAUCACUUCUUGUUAUAAAAAUUCUUAGUAGCCCUGUUACAAAAUAUUCGCUACAAAUUAUUCAAAUCAACAACAAUAACCAUCAACUAAGAAAUUUUAAACAAUCUACUAAAAAAUAAAGCGUUUAAAAGUUCUGUUUAGAAAACAUCAAGAUAAGUAUAAACAUCUAGAAAAGUGAACAUCUAAGAAAAUCCAUCUAGUUAUUGCCGUAACAAUUAGAAUAAUCAUUUGAAAAAGUGCAUUAGACAACGAAAUUCACCAUCAAGAUAAUGAAGCAACAAGAAACAGCACACAUCAAUGAAUUAACACCUUAGAUUCAUCAUGAGAAAAUGCAUGGCACAACUAGAUUUACCAUCAAGAUAAUUCUUAAGCAGCGAAGAAUUAACAUCUAGAAAUGCAUAAACAUCUUAGAUUUUACAUCAAGAGAUGCGAUAACUAUAAACAACUAGAAACGUCACCAAGAUAGUGCAACAACAAAGAAUCAGCAUCUUGAAAUCGCACUAACAUCUAAGAAUCAAUAUCAAGUAUUAUAUUAACAUCAUAGAUAACUUCAUCAAGACAGGCAUCCACAUCUAAGAAACUCAUCUAGAAUAGCUAACACCUAACAUCAAAGAAUAUUCAUCAAGAACAGUAUCUAACAGAACUUUUUGACUAUAUAUGAAUUAAUUAUGUUACUAGCUAAAUCAUCUAUUAUUAACUUUCACACUCAAUUUCUACAUCUAAUAUCAAUUUAUUAACAAUAGAAUUAGCAGCAACAAGAUAUUACUUAAAAUUACUCCCCCG
RNAcentral lists this small nuclear RNA (901 nucleotides) under Staphylococcus aureus. RNAcentral's name for it is "SaV3". The record is from RNAcentral. Lineage: Bacteria; Bacillati; Bacillota; Bacilli; Caryophanales; Staphylococcaceae.